AGUGAACGCUGGCGGUAGGCCUAACACAUGCAAGUCGAACGGCAGCACAGUAAGAGCUUGCUCUUACGGGUGGCGAGUGGCGGACGGGUGAGGAAUACAUCGGAAUCUACUUUUUCGUGGGGGAUAACGUAGGGAAACUUACGCUAAUACCGCAUACGACCUACGGGUGAAAGCAGGGGAUCUUCGGACCUUGCGCGAUUGAAUGAGCCGAUGUCGGAUUAGCUAGUUGGCGGGGUAAAGGCCCACCAAGGCGACGAUCCGUAGCUGGUCUGAGAGGAUGAUCAGCCACACUGGAACUGAGACACGGUCCAGACUCCUACGGGAGGCAGCAGUGGGGAAUAUUGGACAAUGGGCGCAGGCCUGAUCCAGCCAUACUGCGUGGGUGAAGAAGGCCUUCGGGUUGUAAAGCCCUUUUGUUGGGAAAGAAAAGCAGCAGGUUAAUACCCCGCUGUUCUGACGGUACCCAAAGAAUAAGCACCGGCUAACUUCGUG
RNAcentral lists this ribosomal RNA (492 nucleotides) under uncultured bacterium. RNAcentral describes it as "partial 16S ribosomal RNA". It matches the Rfam family "Bacterial small subunit ribosomal RNA", at positions 29 to 507 of the family's 1533-position model. The record is from RNAcentral.